GACCUUAGGGUGAAGGGUGGGGAAUUAUUAUUAUUAUAUAUAUAUUAUAUAUAUAUUAUAUUAAAUAGUUUCUAUUUAACAUUUAAACUACAUUAAGUGUGAUUUGUGGAACAUUGUGGAACAGCCUACACACCUAGGCUGAAUAAAGUAUUUAAGUUCAACCAGCUUUGGUUAUUAAAAAAAAAGUAUUUCUGAUAUUUUUGUAAGAUUAACAUGGUCCCCAUUGCUACUUCUGUUUACUUUAUAGUAAAGCUAUCCCAGCAGUGGGGCCUAACACACCAGUCAUGGGAUUUGUGGUAUAGAAUCCCUGGCUAAGCAAGUGUGGGGUUGUUGGUCCUUGUUUGGAUGGGUAAAUAGCUCAUGGAUCUUGUGUUUUGCAGCAUAGUCAUUUAUUGCCAUUUAUACACUCCUUUCCCAGUUAACUGUUCCCAAAGUACCUUAUAAUUAAACCCCAGCACAAAAUGGGCAAAAUCUUAGUGCUUGAUUGAUAGUAUGUCUGUCUCUCCAUGAUGGUUGAUGACCUCAUAGUGCAGAUUGUAGACUCUUCCAAUCACAGGGAGGGCAGUUGAACUGGCGAGGGGCAGAAGGAAUGGAUGGGGAAGAUACCAGCCCACUGCCGUCUCGUAGCUCCGCAGAAUUUCCUGGAUCCAGCAGCUGGAAAAGCUGAUUUUAAUUUUCUAUUCAGCAAGGAGGUGUUAGUGACCUCCACAUGCCUUGCUCCCUUCUCGCAGAAGGGAUUGGGUCCAAAGGGAGAGGCAACCAAGAGGGCAGAGGCAGCAGCGGACAAGGAGAAGGCAGGUGGUUUUAUAACAAGGGGCUCCUAUGGACACACACAGAAGGACUGAUGUCCAAAAGAGUUGGAUUUGGGGGCAAUCCCCACCACACAUGGAGGUAUGUGCCUGUAGAGGUACAACCUCUCCAGCAUUUUGGUGAGGUUCCUUGAUAUAUCAGUGCCGACUUCUGUGGUGUUAGGUACCAUCUAUAGGUAAGUUUCAAGGGGAGAUGGAUUUAGACCACAGUUUAUUCCAUUGGGUAGGGUUUAUUUCACAGUCUAUGUCAUGCUCCCAUUGUUUUUUGAUUAAGAUGAGGGGGUUACUAGGAUUCUGGAGCAGUAUUUUUAUAUUGUGGAUACCCUGUUUUGAGUCUUGGGAGAAAAUAGCUUUGAAUUAGAUCUCUUUAUAAUCCUUUCAAAAUCUUGCCUGCCAUUGUGGUGGGAUGGAAGGCUGCCAUUGUUUAGACCAGCAGUGGGCAAUGCCCUCUCACCCCGUGGGGAGCUGAAGGUGCUAUGAAAGAUGUAUUAAUUAUGUGUUCACACUUUUCUUGCUUUUACUUUUGGGUAGGUUUUUGUAUUGUUUCAAUAACCUGCUUGACCAGAGCGCCUGGUAAGACAUCAACAAAUGUGUAUAUGAGGAAGUGGAACUUUUACUCAAAGCACCCACCUACCCCAGAAAAGUAGGGUGCCAUACUAUUCAGGACUUUUUUUUUUUGUCUAUAUAUGUAUUUGUUUACAUAGUACUUUUUGUCUGUAUAAUUCUAAGCACCAUAUCAUGGGGUCCCUGGUGGUCUCCCAUCUGGGCACCUCAAGUGCCAAGUUUCCCUAUUUUCCAGGGACAGCCCCAGAUUUAUAGAAGCCACUGUGACACCUCCCUCUGCUGGCUCACUGGUCACCAAAGUGCUAAAAGGCCUGGUGAGCUCCUAUGGCUAGAUCAUUUUGCGUUUGUUACAGGAAGAAGAUAGACAUGUACCGUAAGUAGGAUUUCUCUCAGCAUCUGCAUUCUGUGAUGAUAGUGAUUUCCUCUUGAUCUUAGAGGCACUAGAGAGUACUAACUAUGAGUCCCAUUUCUCUUUCUUUUCUGGACUUUCAAGGCUGAGAAAAGUCUUUUCCCGUCUGGGAAGAAAAAAUAAAAUUUCUCCUUUCCCAGCGACCUCCCCCUCGCCCACCACCUCUCCCUCCGCCUCACCUUCCGGACCCCUCUUUCAGAAGACUGCAAAGGUAAAACCCUUCAGUGUAUAGAUGUUGCUUCCAGAGAAAUAGCAGUCCCUAUGGAUUCUUAGGAAAGGUCUCUCUGUAACUGUUUGAGGCCUAUUUUGAUGUUCAGAAAAUAAACAUAUCCCAUGUGGCUCUUUGUUUUUCCUGUACGCUCUGCACACCUCCUGCCAUCCUGACCUGGAGGAAGAUGGCAGGAGGAAGAAAUGCCAAGGAAAACAUGAAGCAUCUCUCCUCAGCAUGGUGCCCUCUAGCAGUUGUUGAGACUCCAGUUCCCAUCCCUGCUGACUAUUGGUGAGGGUAACAACCACCUUGCUGCAGCUAAGAAAACCUGAGUCUAGAUGGGUGGCCACCUGAGAACCACACGUCCGCCACCAUGGGUUCCACGUCACUCUUUUAUUGAAGAGAAGUGGGAGCCCUACAAAGAGAACUGAGCAAGUCCCAACGGGAGCCCUGCAAGCUGCGGAUUGUUUGUGUGUGGGGGUUUGUGCACAUCUUUUCUGCUCAGAAAGUAUUAAUGUAAAAUUUUUGCACCCGCUAUAGGCAUGGCUCCAGCAAGAACAAAACUCUGUGCUGCUCCGAGGUUGGAUUAGGAGUGUGCUCAGAUAAUGACAUCUGAAGAACAAGAUGGCUGGGAGCGGCAGCAGAGUAACCGGGUGGGGGGGGUGUCUUUGAAAGAGAGAAGAGCCAUAAUCCCACUUUGAUACCAAGGGGGGGGGGGAAUGCUUGCAAAGACUCAGUUUGGCACAGAUUAUGCCACUGAUUCCAGAUCCUUUUGGCAGUGCAGAGAGGCCAGCAGAUUCUUUGCUAUGGGCUCUUCUGCACUCUGCUCUUUCUAUAGGUAGCAAGGGUUGAUUUGGCCAGAGAUGUGGUGUGCAUUUUAAGCACUCAGGAGGAGAGUAAUGUGUAGUGUUUCUAGGAGCAUAUGGCACAUUUCUAAGAGAAAAACAGCUUACGUAAUGUGUUCCUGUCUCCCCAGCCUAUUUUAAAAUAUAGGCAUUACCUACGGUUUGGGCAUGAUGCCAGAACACGGUUUGGUGUUCUUUGAGUAAGCUUUGGACAUAUGCACCCCAUCUUCCUUUUUGACACCCCUAAUUGCUGUCAAGCAAGUUGAUCAAUGCAUCCAAAUAGUGUACAAACAAAAAUUUGCUUGCAAACCAGAAUCGGACAUUGUGGCACUUUCCACAACCACAGUUUCCAGGUCUGGUUUGCUGCAAACAUACUAGGUGUUGCAGGGUUUUUGCCUCAUUUGUGAACAACUUGGAAGUCGUGGAAGGGGUUGGAAUGCAGGAAGGGAAGGAGAGCGUGAGCCUGAAGCUUGUUUAUGUAUUGAUAAACCAUGGUUGGACAUUAUGUUUGAACUGAUCCAUUAUGAAAAGUUGGGCUUCUGUUUCAGUAGCUGGGGAUGAAUUCUUAGCAAAGCUUAAAGGCCUGUUGCUGGCUGGAUAUGGUGUAGAUUAAAUUACACACACUCCCCAAAAGCACCAUAGUGUAUUUUAAGUUAGUACUGAUGUUGUUUUCUUAUACCUUAAUAAUAACCAAAGCUUUGUUACCAACCCAGGAGUUUGUGUUUCUAAAAGAAAGAGGGACUGUACCUGUGUCAGCUAUAUUUCUUCUUAAGGGGUUGGACUAGAUGGCCCUCAGGGUACCUUCCAACUCUGCAAUUCUAUUAUUCUAUCCCUCACCAUUAGCUGUGGUGGCUGAGGCUGAUGGGACUUGGGAGUCUAACCUCAUCCCCACACGUUGACUGCAAACUAUUAUGAGGACUAAGCUUACUAAUGAACGGCUCUCAAAGGCCUGCUCCGACUAGGUUUGGUCUCCCUCUCUCUUAUGCCAGAAACUCAGGGCCACCCAAUCAAAUUGAUCAGUAGUAUAUUCAGGACAGACAGAAUGGUAUAGUUGUUCACAAAGCACAUUGUUAACUUGUGGAAUAUGCUGUCCCCAGGUCUGUUGCUAGAUCCUUAGAAAAUAGAAAUUUGCAUAUGCUAAUUUAUUUGAACAGAUGCAAAUUUAGGCCAGCUUUCAGAAAGAGGUUGUAUCGAAUGCUAGCCCUACUAAAGAGUUGACUCAUUGAAACUAAGACACUGAUAACUUAAGCCCACUAAUUUUUAUGGAUCUGCUCUGAGUAGGACUUAGUUGGAUACCACCCAAAGUAUCCUGUAAGCAACGUGUGAGGGGUGGGGUGGAGGGUAAGCAACAGGACCCCUGGCUCCAAGAUCUGUAUUUAUGAAUGUUGUUAGCCACUUUGAGGACUAUAGUUGAAAGGCAGAAUAUAAAUCACUUAAAGAAAUAAUGAAUAAGGUGUGUGUCUGUGUCCGCUAGCUUAUAUGGCUUUAAAAAGAAAUCAGACCAUUUCCUGAAGGGUGAUGUCAGCAGGUAUUGCCUGCAAGAACUAAACAGACCAUUCUGCUUUAGACCAGCUCUUGCCUUCAUGACCUGUGUGUGCUUCCUGGAGGUGUCUGAUUGGCCACUGUGGGGAAUAAGAUAUUGCACUAGAUGGGCCUUUUGGUCUGAACCAGCAGAGCUCUUCUUAAUGUCCUGUCUUCUUCUUGUUUAGGAGUCAGCAUGCAGAGUUUGUGGCUGCCCAGAACUUGGAAGCACUCCAUUGUCAUGGAUCUUGCUUCUCUCCAACCCAGAUUUCAACAAAGAGGGUGAAGGUGGCUAAGCCUUUGCAGAAGAGGCUCAAUCAUAAAAGUUAGCCCCUCACAUUCCGGUGCUCAGUUCACCUGACCCACCCCUUAGAUCAUGGGAAGGUAAUUUUGAUGUGCAUCUGUUGAUGUGACCUAUGGUCACACUAUGAGACCAUAACCUGCCCCAUCCUGGAAUUUAAAAAAGCAGAGGAGUCAGCGGUGUGGAGACUUGCUACCAUCUAAUUAGAUGUUCCAAGGAGCACCUUUGCCAAGUCAAAACUACCAGGAAAAGCUCCACAAAGGGCAAAGGGACAGGAAACAUUUCUGUCCUGGGAUUCAGAAGAGCAUCACCCUCUCUGCCUGAGAAUCUUAAGGUAAGAGCCCUAUGUGUGGCUUGAUGGGAUGGGUUGUAGUAGCUAAUAUUUAUCCUCCCCCAACUUUUUCCCACUAAAAGACGCAUGCCCUCUUUCAGCCUUCAUAAAGCAUGCUUAAAUGGGGUGAAGGGGGGAACAAUGGUAGAGAAGGGUAACACCUCUGCUUCCUUCCUGUAGCUAAGCCAUCCCCCAGUACUACUUGGGCCUGCCUACUCUUCAUGAGGUACGUGCAUCCUCCACCUCCUCUUCUUUCAUUAGCAGCGAGGCGGAGGGGUAUCCUGAGCUCCUGGGUCUCUACCCUACUUGUUGGGGGUGGCCCUGCAGUCUGGAAAAGAAGCAGUUGGCACCCCCUCUCCGCAAGGCAGCGGUGUUUGGAUUGGCUCUGGUUAAAUCCAAGCCUCCCUUUCACAACCAAGGGUUCUUUUCAGUGCCGUACCCCGUACUUGCUGCCACCGGUCAGAGCCCCACCAGAAAAGGAACACUCCCCACUCAGGUGUGGGAGUGUCACAAUAUAAAUAAGUUCUUUCUUCCUUAAAAAAAAAGAAUAUUAUUAUUAUUCUUUAAUAACAAAGAGGAUCAGAGAAGUAUCCGCAUAUUCCCAGCCCCGUUCAGUUCAUUAAUGCUUCUCUUUCUCUUUUAUUUUUUUAAAAAAACUGACAAUAAAUACCCCAUUUCCCAACCCAACCCAAGCUGCCUGAGACCCCCAUUUCUCCUGUUUAUUUGAUGUUGGAGAAGAGAGGAGAGAGAAAAAUAGAAGUAUGACUGAUGCCCUCCCCCAACCCCAAUUAUGCCUAAUGGCGAAUAACUUCGCUUUUGUGGCUUAAAGGAACCAAAUCCUCAUUUUUGUAAAUAAUAUAUUAUUAUCACCCCCUAAUAUUCACCAUCGGAUGCUAGCUGCCCCCUCUCCCUGAGAAUGGGAGGAGUGUUAAAGGACAAAAUGAAAACAGGAAAAUAAAAUAGAAGUUAAAGAGGAAAAGAAACAACUCCACUCCCCCCCUCCAAACCAACAAGGGGAGAUUUUGGGGGAAGUGGCAGGGGAGACAUUUGCCCUUAUGGUUAGCACAUCCAUCCAGGAGAAGGAGGGUCACUUCUCCAUGGCCCAACCCAUCUGCAUAUUAGUAAAAAGAUUUGCCGUCUGCCACCCUGUAAACAUGUGCGUCCCAACAGAUGGGUCCCUCCGCCUCCCCCUGCCCUUCCCAUGGGCACAAGGCUUCUUUCCUUUUUAUUUUUUGCAUGGUCCAAGGAUUAAGCGGCUUCCUCGUUAUCUUGUGCACUUCCUGGGGUGGAGUUGGGUGUGUGUGUGUUUCUCUUUGCUGCUUGUCGUUCCAGCGUUUGUUCUUGCCUCACAUAGCGGGGUCCUCUCAUUUAAUUCAGUUUCUUGUUUUUUUUAAA
Molecule: non-coding RNA, 6383 nt
Organism: Podarcis muralis (Common wall lizard)
Lineage: Eukaryota; Metazoa; Chordata; Lepidosauria; Squamata; Lacertidae
Source: RefSeq, a predicted model, not a curated record